RNAcentral lists this ribosomal RNA (504 nucleotides) under uncultured bacterium. Its description in RNAcentral is "bacterial SSU rRNA". It matches the Rfam family "Bacterial small subunit ribosomal RNA", at positions 8 to 507 of the family's 1533-position model. The record is from RNAcentral.
AGAGUUUGAUCAUGGCUCAGAUUGAACGCUGGCGGCAUGCCUUACACAUGGCAAGUCGAACGGCAGCGCGGGGCAACCUGGCGGCGAGUGGCGAACGGGUGAGUAAUAUAUCGGAACAUACCUUAGAGUGGGGAUAACGUAGCGAAAGUUACGCUAAUACCGCAUACGCACUAAGGUGGAAAAGUGGGGGAUUCGCAAGAACCUCAUGCUCAUGGAGUGGCCGAUAUCUGAUUAGCUAGUUGGUGAGGUAAAGGCUCACCAAGGCGACGAUCAGUAGCUGGUUUGAGAGGACGACCAGCCACACUGGAACUGAGACACGGUCCAGACUCCUACGGGAGGCAGCAGUGGGAAUUUUGGACAAUGGGGGCAACCCUGAUCCAGCAAUGCCGCGUGAGUGAAGAAGGCCUUCGGGUUGUAAAGCUCUUUUGUCAGGGAAGAAACGGUGAGUUCUAAUAAAGCUUGCUAAUGACGGUACCUGAAGAAUAAGCACCGGCUAACUACGUG